AAUAGCUUUAGGGCUAGCCUCGAUUUAGUCUUAUGGAGGUAGAGCACUGAAUUUCCGCGGGGGCGUCAAAGCUUACCAAAGAAUAUCAAACUCCGAAUGCCAUGUAGAUGAUGAUCGGGAGUCAGACUGCACGAGAUAAGUUGGGCAGUCAAAAGGGAAAGAGCCCAGACCACCGGCUAAGGUCCCAAAGUGCGUGUUAAGUGGAAAAGGAUGUGGGAAUUCGAAGACAACUAGGAUGUUGGCUCAGAAGCAGCCAUACAUUCAAAGAGUGCGUAACAGCUCACUAGUCGAGAGUUCCUGCGCCGAAAAUGUCCGGGGCUAAAACACGACACCGAAGCCGUGGACUCGCAAUGCGAGUGGUAGAGGAGCAUUCUUAAAACCGACGAAGCUGUACCGGAAGGAGCAGUGGAGGGAUAAGAAGAGAGAAUGCCGGAAUGAGUAGCGAGAGAAAGGUGAGAAUCCUUUCGGCCGAAUAUCUAAGGUUUCCAGAGUAAAGCUGAUCUGCUCUGGGUAAGUCGGGGCCUAAGCACAGGUCGCAAGACGUAAGCGAUGGAUAACAGGUUUAGAUUCCUGUACCACGCAUUAUCAGAACUGUAGGGACGCAUGUGGAAAGCACGAGCCGGGAAUGGAAAGACCGGUACAAGCGGGGUAGGAGUACAAUAGGCAAAUCCGUUGUAUGAUCCGAAGACGUGAUGUGGAGCGAAAUAAAGUAGCAAAGCGUGUGAGCCAUGUGCCGAGAAAAGCUGCUAUUGUGUAAUGCGUGCCCGUACCGUAAACCGACACAGGUGGAUGAGGAGAGAAUCCUAAGGCCGACGGAAGAAGCAUUGUUAAGGAAUUCGGCAAAAUGACCCCGUAACUUCGGGAGAAGGGGUGCCUGCGAGAGCAGGCCGCAGAGAAUAGGCUCAAGCAACUGUUUAGCAAAAACACAGGUCUAUGCGAAACCGAAAGGUGAGGUAUAUGGGCUGACGCCUGCCCGGUGCUGGAAGGUUAAGAGGAGAGGUUAGCGCAAGCGAAGCUUUGAAUUUAAGCCCCAGUAAACGGCGGCCGUAACUAUAACGGUCCUAAGGUAGCGAAAUUCCUUGUCGGGUAAGUUCCGACCCGCACGAAAGGCGUAAUGAUUUGAGCGCUGUCUCGACAAUGCAUCCGGUGAAAUUGAAGUACCAGUGAAGAUGCUGGUUACCCGCGCCAGGACGGAAAGACCCCAUGGAGCUUUACUCCAGUUUGAUACUGGGAUUCGGUACUGCAUGUACAGGAUAGGUGGGAGACGAAGAAGGAUGGACGCCAGUCUGUCCGGAGUCGCUGUUGGGAUACCACCCCUGUAGUACUGGGUUUCUAACCAGUUACCAUGAUCUGGUAAUGGGACAAUGUCAGGCGGGGAGUUUGACUGGGGCGGUCGCCUCCGAAAGGGUAUCGGAGGCGCUCAAAGGUUCCCUCAGAAUGGUUGGAAACCAUUUGAAGAGUGCAAAGGCAGAAGGGAGCUUGACUGCGACACCGACGGGUGGAGCAGGUACGAAAGUAGGACUUAGUGAUCCGGUGGUAUAAAGUGGGAUUGCCAUCGCUCAACGGAUAAAAGCUACCCUGGGGAUAACAGGCUUAUCACUCCCAAGAGUUCACAUCGACGGAGUGGUUUGGCACCUCGAUGUCGGCUCAUCGCAUCCUGGGGCUGUAGUAGGUCCCAAGGGUUGGGCUGUUCGCCCAUUAAAGCGGUACGCGAGCUGGGUUCAGAACGUCGUGAGACAGUUCGGUCCCUAUCCGGCGCGGGCGGAGGAUAUUUGAGAGGAGCUGUCCUUAGUACGAGAGGACCGGGAUGGACGGACCACUGGUGUAUCUGUUGUCGACCAACGGCAUGGCAGAGUAGCCAAGUCUGGAAGGGAUAAACGCUGAAGGCAUCUAAGCGUGAAGCCCCCCUCAAGAUGAGAUAUCCCUCCUUCGGGAGUAAGACCCCUUGA
Molecule: ribosomal RNA, 1949 nt
Filed under: human gut metagenome
Description: bacterial LSU rRNA
Rfam family: Bacterial large subunit ribosomal RNA
Source: RNAcentral